RNAcentral lists this ribosomal RNA (460 nucleotides) under uncultured bacterium. Its description in RNAcentral is "partial 16S ribosomal RNA". It matches the Rfam family "Bacterial small subunit ribosomal RNA", at positions 338 to 795 of the family's 1533-position model. The record is from RNAcentral.
CCUACGGGAGGCAGCAGUGAGGAAUAUUGGUCAAUGGACGAGAGUCUGAACCAGCCAAGUAGCGUGAAGGAUGACUGCCCUAUGGGUUGUAAACUUCUUUUAUAUGGGAAUAAAAUGUUCCACGUGUGGGUUUUUGUAUGUACCAUAUGAAUAAGGAUCGGCUAACUCCGUGCCAGCAGCCGCGGUAAUACGGAGGAUCCGAGCGUUAUCCGGAUUUAUUGGGUUUAAAGGGAGCGUAGGUGGAUUGUUAAGUCAGUUGUGAAAGUUUGCGGCUCAACCGUAAAAUUGCAGUUGAAACUGGCAGUCUUGAGUACAGUAGAGGUGGGCGGAAUUCGUGGUGGAGCGGUGAAAUGCUUAGAUAGCACGAAGAACUCCGAUUGCGAAGGCAGCUCACUGGACUGCAACUGACACUGAGGCUCGAAAGUGUGGGUAUCAAACAGGAUUAGAUACCCCUGUAGUC